CAAGUUUGAGCGGGAUUUUACAGAGUAUCGUAAAGUCUAGCGGCAAACGGGUGGGUAACACGUAGGAAACCUCCCUCAAAAUGGGGAAUAUCUCCGAGAAAUCGGAGUUAAUACCGCAUAAUACCGCAGUUUGGCAUCAAACAGAGGUCAAAGCAGCAAUGCGUUUUGAGAUGGUCUUGCGACCUAUCAGCUAGUUGGUUGGGUAACGGCCUACCAAGGCUAUGACGGGUAUCCGGCCUGAAAGGGUGAACGGACACACUGGAACUGAGACACGGUCCAGACUCCUGCGGGAGGCAGCAGUGGGGAAUUUUGGACAAUGGGGGAAACCCUGAUCCAGCGACGCCGCGUGGAGGAUGAAGGCCUUCGGGUUGUAAACUCCUUUUAGAGGGAAAGAAAAAAAUGACGGUACCCUCAGAAAAAGCCACGGCUAACUACGUGCCAGCAGCCGCGGUAAUACGUAGGUGGCGAGCGUUACUCGGAAUUACUAGGCGUAAAGCGUAUGUAGGCGGUCAUAUAAGUCUUUAGUGAAAUUUCCCGGCUUAACCGGGAAAGGUCUAAGGAUACUGUUUGACUUGAGUGUGGGAAGGGAAGAUGGAAUUCCUGGUGUAGCGGUGAAAUGCGUAGAUAUCAGGAGGAACACCGAUGGCGAAAGCAAUCUUCUGGCCCAAUACUGACGCUAAUGUACGAAAGCUAGGGUAGCAAACAGGAUUAGAUACCCUGGUAGUCCUAGCUGUAAACGAUGUUCACUAGAUGUGGGAGGUAUCGACCCCUUCUGCGCCAGCGCUAACGCAUUAAGUGAACCGCCUGGGGAGUACGGCCGCAAGGUUGAAACUCAAAGGAAUUGACGGGGGCCCGCACAAGCGGUGGAGUAUGUGGUUUAAUUCGAUGCAACGCGAAAAACCUUACCUGGGCUUGAACUGCUAAUGGUAAAAACCGGAAACGGCGAUGACCCGCAAGGGAGUUAGUAGAGGUGCUGCAUGGCUGUCGUCAGCUCGUGUCGUGAGAUGUUGGGUUAAGUCCCGCAACGAGCGCAACCCUUAUCCCAUGUUACCUGUAGCAAUACAGGGUCUCUGAGGAGACUGCCAUUGAUAAAAUGGAGGAAGGUGGGGACGAAGUCAAGUCAUCAUGGCCUUUAUGUCCAGGGCUACACACGUACUACAAUGGUCGGUACAGAGGGCAGCAAUAUCGCAAGAUGGAGCAAAUCCCUAAAAGCCGGCCUCAGUUCAGAUUGUGGGCUGCAAUUCGCCCACAUGAAGUAGGAAUCGCUAGUAAUCGCAGAUCAGCAGGCUGCGGUGAAUACGUUCCCGGGCCUUGUACACACCGCCCGUCACACCACGAAAGUCAGUUGUAACAGAAGUCGCUAAGCUAACCGCAAGGAGGCAAGCGCCGAAGUUAUGGUUGGUGAUUGGGGUGAAGUCGUAACAAGGUAGCCGUACGAGAACGUGCGGGCUUGGAUCACCUCCUUUGUGAUUGGGGUGAAGUCGUAACAAGGUAGCCGUACGAGAACGUGCGGGCUUGGAUCCACCUCCUUUUUUAAGGAGUAAACAUGCGUUUUGAGUUCACCCAAAACGAGAUGUUAACGGUCGGUUCUUGAUUUACAAUGUUUGGAUUUGCCAGAUUUUGCGGGGCGUUUGUCUGCAUGUUAUUUAGUUAUUUGCGCUAAAGGUGAAGGCUAUAUCUUACAAGGGCAUAAGUUGAGUAGUUGUUUAAGCGGGCCUAUAGCUCAGUUAGUCAGAGCGCACCCCUGAUAAGGGUGAGGUCUGUGGUGCAACUCCACAUAGGCCCACCAACAGUCUGAUAGUCUGCUUUUAUAAGAGAUGACAAGUUAUUGGUGAAAUGGGGAUAUAGCUCAGCUGGGAGAGCGCCUGCUUUGCAAGCAGGAGGUCGUCGGUUCAAAUCCGUCUAUCUCCACAGAUGAUUAUUUUCAGAUGUUUUUACGUCUGGACAUUAUAUAAAGCUGUUUUGUUCAUUGAAAACUUAAUAUUUGUAAGGUAAAUCAAGCGUCUUCAAAUUAAUUUUUGAAACAAUGUUUGCGCAAUUUAAAUAAGUCAUAUUUAUUUAACAUCUCGAAAGAGAUGGGAUUAAAAGAUAAUGUGACCAAGCUACUAAGUGCAUAUAGUGGAUGCCUUGAGAUAAUGUGACCAAGCUACUAAGUGCAUAUAGUGGAUGCCUUGGCUAAGACUGUCGAAGAAGGACGUGGUAAGCUGCGUUAAGCGUCGGGGAGGUGCUACAACCUUUGAUCCGGCGAUUUCCCAAUGGGGUAACCCACUGCAGAGUAAUCUGCAGUAUCCGAAAGGAAGGCAACCCAGGGAAGUGAAACAUCUCAGUACCUGGAGGAAAAGAAAUCAACCGAGUAUACCGAAAGUAGUGGCGAGCGAAAUCGGUGAAGCCUAAACCGUUGUGUUCACACAGUGGGGUUGCAGGACCGCAUAAGUAGAGUUACCAAUCAAAGAGUUAAUUGAACGGUUUGGAAAAUCCGACCAUAGAAGGUGAAAGUCCUGUAGGUGAAAACUUUUUGACUCGAAGCGGUAUCCUAAGUACCAUCGGACAAGUAAAAUCUGGUGGGAAUCUGGGGGGACCACCCUCCAAGGCUAAAUACAAGUCUUAGACCGAUAGUGAACCAGUACCGUGAGGGAAAGGCGAAAAGAACCGCGGGAGCGGAGUGAAAUAGAACCUGAAACUGUAUGCAUACAAGCAGUUCCAAGGCUUAUGUCGGAAACGCAAGUGACCCAAAAAUGGGCUGAAAACCGUGCCCUGUUGAAAAAAUGAUCCCGGCCAAGUUAUUUGGAAAGGCGCGAGGUUAAUUAUUGUGUUAACGCAAUAUUAAGUAACCCGUAGCGGAAACCCAAGUUCUGGAAAAGGGCCAAAUAGGCUUUAUCAUUUAGGACCCGGAAGCCCAAGUGAUCUAUGGCCUGGACAGGAGUGAAUUCCCCUUUAAUCGGGGGAAGGAGGGCUCGGAAGCGUCGACCCGUUGAAAAGGUCUUUGCAUGAGCUGGGUAUAGGGGUGAAAGGCCAAUCUAAUUGGUGAUAGCUGGUUCUCCUCGAAAUAGCUUUAGGGCUAGCCUGGAGCGUUAAAUCAGAGAGGUAGAGCACUGGAUAGUUUAGCGGAUGUAACCCAUUUUGCGAUGCUAACCAAACUCCGAAUUCUUUGACGUAUUUCUCUGGAGUCAGUACGUGUGGGAUAAGCUUCACGUGCAAAAGGGAAACAACCCAGACCAUCAAUUAAGGUCCCAAAAUAUAUGCUAAGUGGUAAAGGAUGUGGAAUUUCUUAGACAGCUAGGAGGUUGGCUUAGAAGCAGCCAUCCUUUAAAGAGUGCGUAACAGCUCACUAGUCAAGUGAUUCUGCGCCGAAAACACCCGGGGCUCAAGCAUAUUACCGUAAUUAUGGAUUCUAUAGUAAUCAAUUAUAGAGUGGUAGAGGAGCGUUCCUGCUGCGCUGAAGGCAUACCGUAAGGAGUGCUGGAGUUGCAGGAAGUGAGGAUGUCGGAAUAAGUAGCGAUAAGAGAAGUGAAAAUCUUCUCCGCCGAAAACCUGAGGUUUCCUUGAGUAAAGUUCGUCUGCUCAGGGUCUGUCGAUCCUUAGCUGAGGUCGAAAGACGUAGGCGAUGGGUAUCCGGUUAAUAUUCCGGAACUAUCUUUAGUGCGCAUAAUGUGUUUGGCUACACUUUUUAGUAGGUCAUCAUCCGAUUGGAAGUGGAUGUUGCUCCGCAAGGAGGAGGACCUUGAGGCAACUUAAGGGAACUGACUGUAUGGGAAGCCAAGAAAAACCCAGACACCUGUGCUAGAGGUAAACGUACCGCAAACGGACACACGUAGGUGGGGUGAAAAACCUAAGGCGCGCGAGAUAACUUUCGUUUAGGAACUCGGCAUAUUGGCCCCGUAACUUCGGGAUAAGGGGUACCUGUGGCAACAUAGGUCGCAGUGAAAUGGCCCUCGUGACUGUUUAACAAAAACACAGGACUCUGCUGAAAUCACAAGAUGAUGUAUAGGGUCUGACGCCUGCCCGGUGCUGGAAGGUCAAGGGGAAGGAGUUAGCGCAAGCAAAGCUCUGAACUUAAGCCCCAGUAAACGGCGGCCGUAACUAUAACCGGUCCUAAAGGAAGCGAAAUUCCUUGGCCGGU
RNAcentral lists this small RNA (4120 nucleotides) under uncultured bacterium. RNAcentral describes it as "bacterial LSU rRNA". The stretch from base 2140 to 4120 matches the Rfam family "Bacterial large subunit ribosomal RNA", at positions 1 to 1977 of the family's 2925-position model. The record is from RNAcentral.